Molecule: unclassified non-coding RNA, 312 nt
Filed under: fungal sp.
Lineage: Eukaryota; Fungi
Description: partial internal transcribed spacer region
Rfam family: Eukaryotic small subunit ribosomal RNA (bases 1-46)
Source: RNAcentral
AAGUCGUAACAAGGUCUCCGUAGGUGAACCUGCGGAGGGAUCAUUAACACGUUUAUUUCACUAUAAACGUAUCUAUACCAAACAAAUAGAAAUCCGAGUAGAGAUGGAAACAUUGAUACUUAGUUCUUCUCCCUCAUUGUACGGAAAUGAUGACAAGCAAUUGUCCUUCUUUCCGUGUAGUGUGGCUAUUUCCUUUUGUUGACCCCUUUCCACCUUUUGAAGUUUGUACAUGACUUAUAUGUGAGUUUAUACUCUUACAUUGAUAUACUAAUGUUAAAAGCACAACUCUUAGCAACGGAUAUCUUGGUCCUC